This 325-nucleotide unclassified non-coding RNA is filed under the name Hevea brasiliensis (rubber tree). The record is from RNAcentral. Lineage: Eukaryota; Viridiplantae; Streptophyta; Magnoliopsida; Malpighiales; Euphorbiaceae.
GAACCAAUGGAUUUCCAAGUGAUGCGGCAACGAGGAAGACUGUGAGUACUUCUCCAUCCUCUUAUCAAAAGGUGUUUUUGUCUCUUUCCAUUUUACAGUAUACAUGAAGUCAACAUCAACCUCCUUAUCCUCUGUAAUAUCUACCAGGGCAUUAGGAUCAGUUCGUGCAUUGAUCUCAAUCACACGAUCAUCAUUGUAAAAGAUCUCAAAAUGAAGAUGUUUAAACAAGUAGUAUUUGUACUCGCUGGGGUCAGACUUUCCUUCCUUGUCAACUUUCCCUAAGAAACCCCAAAUGGGCAGGUCAUCGUAAUACAUUUGGAAGUAG